This 451-nucleotide ribosomal RNA is filed under the name uncultured bacterium. RNAcentral's name for it is "bacterial SSU rRNA". It matches the Rfam family "Bacterial small subunit ribosomal RNA", at positions 354 to 796 of the family's 1533-position model. The record is from RNAcentral.
GUGGGGAAUAUUGCGCAAUGGGGGAAACCCUGACGCAGCGACGCCGCGUGAGCGAUGAAGGCCUUCGGGUCGUAAAGCUCUGUCGGGUGGGAAGAACCCUUCCGGGGUUAACAGCCUCGGGAGCUGACGGUACCACCAAAGGAAGCACCGGCUAACUACGUGCCAGCAGCCGCGGUAAUACGUAGGGUGCGAGCGUUGUUCGGAAUCACUGGGCGUAAAGGGCGUGUAGGCGGCCUGGUAAGUCGGGAGUGAAAUCCCACGGCUCAACCGUGGAAUUGCUCUCGAUACUGCCUGGCUUGAGUACGGGAGAGGAAGGCGGAAUUCCCAGUGUAGAGGUGAAAUUCGUAGAUAUUGGGAAGAACACCGGUGGCGAAGGCGGCCUUCUGGACCGAUACUGACGCUGAGGCGCGAAAGCGUGGGGAGCAAACAGGAUUAGAUACCCUGGUAGUCC